UGGGGAAUUUUGGACAAUGGGCGCAAGCCUGAUCCAGCAAUGCCGCGUGCAGGAAGAAGGCCUUCGGGUUGUAAACUGCUUUUGUACGGAACGAAAAGGCCAGCCCUAAUACGGCAGGCCCAUGACGGUACCGUAAGAAUAAGCACCGGCUAACUACGUGCCAGCAGCCGCGGUAAUACGUAGGGUGCGAGCGUUAAUCGGAAUUACUGGGCGUAAAGCGUGCGCAGGCGGUGAUGUAAGACAGUUGUGA
Molecule: ribosomal RNA, 250 nt
Filed under: uncultured bacterium
Lineage: Bacteria
Description: partial 16S ribosomal RNA
Rfam family: Bacterial small subunit ribosomal RNA
Source: RNAcentral